This 962-nucleotide long non-coding RNA is filed under the name Parus major (Great Tit). Its description in RNAcentral is "lncRNA (ENSPMJG00000002444.1)". Lineage: Eukaryota; Metazoa; Chordata; Aves; Passeriformes; Paridae. The record is from RNAcentral.
CUGGUCCCGCUAUGGGGCACAAAGGGGGGGCUGUGGGGCACUCCCGGCCCCACUCGUGCCUCAGUUUCCCCCCAAUUGGGGGUCGGUCCCUGCCCCACUCGUGCCUCAGUUUCCCCCCAUUUAGGGGUCAGUUCAGGCCCCACUUGGGGGUCACUUUGUUCCCACUUAUGGGUCAGUCCAGACCCCACUCGUGCCUCAGUUUCCCCCCACUUGGGGGUCAGUUCCUGCCCCACUCGUUCCUCAGUUUCCCCCCACUUGGGGGUCAGUCCAGGCCCCACUUGGGGGUCAGUCCCAGCCCCACUUGGGGGUCAGUUCCUGCCCCACUCGUGCCUCAGUUUCCCCGCACUUGGGGGUCAGUCCCUGCCCCACUGCCGGCUCCGCUGUGGGGCCGCAGGGCCGGGGGUCACUGCAGGGUCCCCCUGUGGGGCACCGUGGAGCUCUGUGGGUCACUCUGGGGCAGCGCCGGACGCUGGGGGUCACUGCUGGGGCUCCGUGGGUCACUCCAUGGGUCACUGCUGGGGCUCCGUGGGUCACUGGUGGGGCUCCGUGGGUCACUCGUGGGUCGCUGUGGGUCACUCUGGUUGGCUGUGGGGCGCUGUGGGUCACUCCAUGGGUCACUUGGGCUCCGUGGGUCACUCGUGGGGCUCCGUUGGUCACUCCGUGGGUCACUCCAUGGGUCACUUGUGGGGCUCCGUGGGUCACUCAGUGGGUCACUCUGUUGGUCACUCCAUUGGUCACUCCGUGGGUCACUCCGUGGGUCACUUGUGGGUCGCUGUGGGUCACUUGUGGGUCGCUGUGGGUCACUCCAUGGGUCACCCCGUUGGUCACCCCAUUGGUCACUCCAUGGGUCACCCCGUGGGUCACCCGUGGAUCGCUGUGGGUCACUCAUGGGUCGCUGUGGGUCACUUGUGGGUCGCUGUGGGUCACCCGUGGGUCGCUGUGGGUCACUCCGUGGGUCACCC